UACGAAGGGGACUAGCGUUGUUCGGAAUUACUGGGCGUAAAGCGCACGUAGGCGGAUUUGUUAGUCAGGGGUGAAAUCCCGGGGCUCAACCUCGGAACUGCCUUUGAUACUGCAAAUCUCGAGUCCGAUAGAGGUGGGUGGAAUUCCUAGUGUAGAGGUGAAAUUCGUAGAUAUUAGGAAGAACACCAGUGGCGAAGGCGGCUCACUGGCUCGGUACUGACGCUGAGGCGCGAAAGCGUGGGGAGCAAACAGG
RNAcentral lists this ribosomal RNA (253 nucleotides) under uncultured bacterium. RNAcentral describes it as "partial 16S ribosomal RNA". It matches the Rfam family "Bacterial small subunit ribosomal RNA", at positions 524 to 776 of the family's 1533-position model. The record is from RNAcentral.